CAGCAGUGGGGAAUUUUGGACAAUGGGGGCAACCCUGAUCCAGCAAUGCCGCGUGUGUGAAGAAGGCCUUCGGGUUGUAAAGCACUUUUGUCCGGAAAGAAAACUUCGGGGCUAAUACCCCUGGAGGAUGACGGUACCGGAAGAAUAAGCACCGGCUAACUACGUGCCAGCAGCCGCGGUAAUACGUAGGGUGCGAGCGUUAAUCGGAAUUACUGGGCGUAAAGCGUGCGCAGGCGGUGCUGUAAGACCGAUGUGAAAUCCCCGGGCUUAACCUGGGAACUGCAUUGGUGACUGCAGCGCUGGAGUAUGGCAGAGGGGGGUGGAAUUCCACGUGUAGCAGUGAAAUGCGUAGAGAUGUGGAGGAACACCGAUGGCGAAGGCAGCCCCCUGGGCCAAUACUGACGCUCAUGCACGAAAGCGUGGGGAGCAAACAGGAUUAGA
RNAcentral lists this ribosomal RNA (441 nucleotides) under uncultured Burkholderia sp. RNAcentral describes it as "bacterial SSU rRNA". It matches the Rfam family "Bacterial small subunit ribosomal RNA", at positions 349 to 782 of the family's 1533-position model. Lineage: Bacteria; Pseudomonadati; Pseudomonadota; Betaproteobacteria; Burkholderiales; Burkholderiaceae. The record is from RNAcentral.